This 406-nucleotide ribosomal RNA is filed under the name uncultured bacterium. Its description in RNAcentral is "partial 16S ribosomal RNA". It matches the Rfam family "Bacterial small subunit ribosomal RNA", at positions 30 to 526 of the family's 1533-position model. The record is from RNAcentral.
AUUGAACGCUGGCGGCAGGCCUAACACAUGCAAGUCGAACGAGUGGCGGACGUGUGAGUAAUGUCUGGGAAACUGCCCGAUGGAGGGGGAUAACUACUGGAAACGGUAGCUAAUACCGCAUACCAUCGGAUGUUCCCAGAUGGGCUUAGCUGGUAGGUGGGGUAAUGGCUGACCUAGGCGACGAUCCCUAGCUGGUCUGAGAGGCUGACCAGCCACACUGUAACUGUGACACGGUCCAGAGUCCUACGGGAGGCAGCAGUGGGGAAUAUUGCACAAUGGGAUCAAGCCUGAUGCAGCCAUGCCGCGUGUAUGAAGAAGGCAUUAGGGUUGUAAAGUACUUUCAGCGAGGAGGGGUUACUCGCAGAAGAAGCACCGGCUAACUCCGUGCCAGCAGCCGCGGUAAUAC